This 515-nucleotide ribosomal RNA is filed under the name uncultured bacterium. RNAcentral's name for it is "partial 16S ribosomal RNA". It matches the Rfam family "Bacterial small subunit ribosomal RNA", at positions 28 to 523 of the family's 1533-position model. The record is from RNAcentral.
GAUGAACGCUGGCGGCGUGCCUAAUACAUGCAAGUCGAGCGAAUGGAUUAAGAGCUUGCUCUUAUGAAGUUAGCGGCGGACGGGUGAGUAACACGUGGGUAACCUGCCCAUAAGACUGGGAUAACUCCGGGAAACCGGGGCUAAUACCGGAUAACAUUUUGAACCGCAUGGUUCGAAAUUGAAAGGCGGCUUCGGCUGUCACUUAUGGAUGGACCCGCGUCGCAUUAGCUAGUUGGUGAGGUAACGGCUCACCAAGGCAACGAUGCGUAGCCGACCGGAGAGGGUGAUCGGCAACACUGGGACGGAGACACGGCCCAGACUCCUACGGGAGGCAGCAGUAGGGAAUCUUCCGCAAUGGACGAAAGUCUGACGGAGCAACGCCGCGUGAGUGAUGAAGGCUUUCGGGUCGUAAAACUCUGUUGUUAGGGAAGAACAAGUGCUAGUUGAAUAAGCUGGCACCUUGACGGUACCUAACCAGAAAGCCACGGCUAACUACGUGCCAGCCGCCGCAGUAA